This is a long non-coding RNA of Schistocerca gregaria, 4662 nucleotides long. RefSeq lists it as uncharacterized. NCBI's taxonomy places the organism in Eukaryota, Metazoa, Arthropoda, Insecta, Orthoptera, Acrididae. The transcript is spliced from 2 exons. The record is from RefSeq and is a predicted model, not a curated record.
AUUAUCAAUUUAAUUAUUGUAUGUCAGAUUCUAAGACAGCAAGAAAACUAAUCGCUCCAACAAUUUAUUUUGAUUAUUCCAGUGAACAAAAUCGAUAUGUGCUGGCGAUUAGUAAAUGUCAAAUGCGUUGAUACUGGUAUGUAGAUCACCAUCUCUCACUAAUUAUUUACAACUACUUUCAACUAAUGUGUGCUUAACGAUCAGGGUACAUUCGUAGUCUCGGUUGUAAUUUACUUACCUUUCGGUGAGAGAUUUCUGUGUAUGUGCAUUGGUAGCACUAAGAAUUUUAUGAUAAUAUUGAAAAUUUCGUCUUUUGUAACACGUUGUAAUAAGUUUAAUGUUAAAUAAAAGAUUAUUUAAUCGCCUCAUUCCAGGUAUCUUGCAUUCUGAAUUAUUAAAUUAUUUCCAUUGAUAGUUGACUGUGAAUGACCAGACGUCCACACUUUUUCUGCUGGUUUAAAUCUGAUGCCGUAUACAAUAUCAUGCGUUUGUGAAUUAGUUUGCUAAAAAAUGAUACUGUCAGUUUAGCUCCUGCCUGUGCUAUAAUUUUCUUUCAUGACUCUUCAUCGUCACCAGCAUCACUGUCUUCCUUCCCAUAUUCAUCAUAAUUCUCUUCUUCUUCUUCUUCUUCUUCUUCUUCUCCUCCUCCUCCAAUGUCUCCAUCUUCUACUUUCAUAAAUAAACUGUUUUCUUUGGGUUCGUCUCCUUCGCCUUGGCCUGUCUUCGAUUCGAAUAGCUCUCCAAUGACUCCAACUUCUGCUUUCAUAUAUGCAUUCUUUUCUUUGGGUUCAUCUAUGUCUGUUUUCUCUCGGAAUAGCUGCCUCAGUCCCUCUGACGUUUGAGAAAUAUGUCUAAAUGCACUUUACAGUACAUAGUCAGCCUUUUUGGCAACUACACCAGGUUAUUGCAGAUAUUUCGUAGAGAUUCCGACACCUCACUUUUAAAACUGAUCUUUCGUGCGUUGGAAUUGGAAGACACGUUGACAACCGCAAUGCUCAGUCUCCAUAUAUACCACAGUACGGAACUGUUUACUUGCAGUUGAUGAUAUAUACAGAGAGGGCCUCUAAUUAUCAAAAUUCAAACCGUGGAAUUCACAAAGACCGUUUAAAAAAACGGAAUUACUCGGAAUUUCAUUUGUGUAGCACAUUUAAAAAAUGGAACGAGUCGAAAUUUCAUUUAUAUAGAGCAUUUGAAAACAAAAGACUGGAAUUUGAUUCACACAGGCCGUUUAAAAAGAGAAACGGGUCGGAGUUUCAGUAAAACAACGUCUUUAAAAAAUGAAAUGACUUGGAAUUUCAUUCACAAAGACCAUUUAAAAACUGCACGAGUUAAAAUUUCAUUAACACAGACUGUUCAGGAAACGAAACGGAUCGGAUGUUCAUUCCAGAACGUUCAAGAAACGGAGAAGGUUAGAAUUUCAUUCACACAGACCGCUCAAAAAUGGAACGGGUCGCAAUUUUAUUAACAAAAAAUCCAGUGCUAAAAGGCUUACGACAAGAUAAAUCCACGCAGAAGUGCAACUGCAAUAAGUUUCAGAACUAAGAGUAAGUAGGCCUAUCAUAUACUGCAGCGCUGUGGUUCAGAAAACAGUUUUGAAAUAUACACGUAAUUUACAUAUAACAUACAGAAUAUCUAAUAUGAGUACUACACUGUUCUGGUAUAACUGAAAUUACUGUAACAGGAAUCUUAUUUCAGUUGACCAUGUAACAUGGGGUACCCAACAUAAAUAUGAAAUACUUGAUAGACUCUGUAAUGUAACAGUUAGUUUCCUAAUUACGGUACGCAUGUUAAUUAUUCUUGGACGGUAUGCUCGUUAAUUAUUCUUGGUUAUCAAGCUAUUAUUUGUUCAGAUAAAUUUGAAGGCUUUAAUAUAAGAAACUGAGAACAAAGUAUCUAAAUAUCUUUUUUUGGAAUCAUUAAAUGAACUUUAGUGCUUUCCACAUCCUUACACUGCAGUGCCUACUUGAGAUACAGUCUUACCCCAUCCUGCUGGGUGUGGCGCAGUGGAAUUACCAACUGGAAGCACUUAGGAGGGCGUCUUCAGCCUCUGCCUUUGCCUCACAAGGAAAAAAACUUGCUCGAACUAGGGGAUUGUGACUAAUUUAAUUUCCUUGAAGAAAAAGCAUAUUUGUUCCAUAUGGCUAAAAUUGUAAGUUUGCUCUCUACUGGUUUCGAAUAUUACAAUCCUCUUUACAGAUGAAAAACAGUGUACAUCAGUGGUUCAAACAUACAUUGACGUUCACUGUAUUUCUCCCGUGAAGAUCAUUGUAACAAUUAAAACUGGUAGAGAAUAAACAUACAAUUGUACAGCUGAUGGCACAAAUAUGCUUUUUUUCAAAUUAAGUGACAGCAGUAGACAGUCACCUACGAAAAGGUCAAACCUGGAUUCUAUGCAAAUGCGACCAGGUUUUUAAAGUAUCGUUAUUUCAAUAAAAUUUGCAGCCUGCGGCUGUACGUUGGUGGUAUUCCCCGAAUGCUGACUCAGGAAAUUUUUUGAAACUGUGUUGGGAGCUAAGAUCGAAAUACGAGUCAGAAGGUAUCUUCCGGAGUCACAAUAGAGUCGCUUUAUAUUUUUUUCCGCGGGCUGCAUUAUUUGUUUUGUCACCGAAACAUGUACCCAUUUCAGAAUCUAUGUCCCCAACAUAAUUUUUUUUUCUACUGUUUAAAGCGACGGUUACCUUUUAUUAUUUUUGCAAUCGCUUCUUGUCCUGCAGCAUUCACACCCGUAGUGUUAAAUCACUUUCUUUAGUUUCUCUGGUGAAACGACAACUUCUUCAACAAAACGCUUCUAGUCAAAAGUACUUUUCGAAUCUCAUAAUCAAUAUUAUAUUAAAUUGUCAGUCUUUUACCCACUAUAAUAAGUGCUUUUAGCAAUUAUUGCUUUUCCAUACAGUCUACUUCAUGAUCAGUGGUAAAACUAUAUGUGAAUCGUGUUCGUUCAUCAGUAAUACAUACUUAUGUACACAAAUCUGCGUUGACGUCCACGCCCAGGAAACGUUGCCUUGAAUUCUUUUGAUUGUUGAUGACUCCAUGCUGUUAUAUGAGCUACGACCUGCCUUGAGGAAUGAUACUUGCAGAAAUGCAAAGCUUUGUUUUAUUUCAGUCGAAUUCUAUGGAGACUGUCUCUGGCUGCGGAAGUCUUAUGCCCAACUUUACAACACACCUUUAAUCCACACAUAUUAAAAUAUGGCACGUGUUCACAUGAACAGGAAUUCAUAAGAACUAUCUCGUGUUUCUCCUCUAGAUGGGGAAGAAUAAGCCUUAACUCUGGCCACUGUCGUGCUGUUGGUUGCGAACGCUUCAGAAUGUAGAUAGAAGAACUUAAUCCACAAAAUCGGUGCAUAUGAAACACCAGGUACUCGUUUGUUUUUAAAAAGUGCUGCGUAUACAGUCACUAAGAGCACUGAAAAUUUUUGGUAAGAUAUCCAGCUUCCACUUUUGUCGAAUUGGAAAUAGAUGGAACAUGAUUUUCUGAAAGUAAGGUAUGGCUGGGAUCAAAUAAAUUGGCAAAUGUCUUCAUGGAUAAGGAAUAAAUUACAUUAUGGAGUUGUCGUUGUAGCACAUCUUAAUUAGCGUGGUUUAAUAAUUGUAUGUGUAUUGUCCACUGCUCUUCAUAAGAAUAAGUGUUGUAUUUACGCAUAAGUGUACAUAUUUAACAAGUUAUGAUUUUAUAAUAAUAAAAAAUCUCAAGAUUGAACAAAUAAAGUAACAUUCAACAAUUUUAAUGUUUGGAUAGAGAGAACUAUGCACCGUGAUAUAUUUUGUCUUCAAAUUUAACGACAGCAGACAAAAAUUAUUGUCUCGCAUUACAAAGCUAGUGGAUGAUAUGCACAAAUUAUUUGAUGAAAAUGUCGCUUAGAAGUAAUUGGACUUCAAUAAUGACAACAUUUUACCAGAUCAAAUAUUGAUUGUGAAGAUCAGAUUGACUCGCAGAGAUGGAUAAAGGAUUGUUGUUGCAGCUAUCCCGAAUGGGGCUACUAAUGGAGCAAAUACUUCAUCACGUUGUCAAAAUGUACAGUGAUAUUCCUUACCUGUUUCCGAAAAUGACUGGAAAUAUCACUGAAUUACUUUUCUUUUGCAGUGACUCUGUGACUGAGUAAGUGCCAGUCUACAAAAUGGCUCUGAGCACUGUGGGACUUAACAUCUGAGGACAUCACACACAUCCAUGCCCGAAGCAGGAUUCGAACCUGCGACCGUAGCGGUCGCGCGGUUCCAGGCUGAAGCGCCUAGAACCGUUCGGCCACACCGGCCGGCGCCAGUCUACAAAAUAAAAAGGUUCGACAUUUAUUCUUAUCUGUAGUAAGCUUUUCUUCUGUCACCAGUCGCUGUAUUCACACCUCGUAAUGAUGUGUCAAUCAAAAAAAUGUCAACUUGUGCCGAUAUGCAAAGUCUAUAUUAAUUAAACGACACCUUCAUCUAACUGGCGGAAUAAGUCACAUCAAAGGUCUGAGGGAGACAACACAGACACGACUAAUAAAACACUGUGAUCUUCAAACAAACCUUACAAAUCCUCGGUCUUAGUGCAGCUUUACCUCUUGCCUUACCAUUUUCGUAUCUCAAUUUUUUUCACUCAUCCUGUAACAUAUUGUCAAAUUAGCCAAAAUUUAACAUCACACACACACACAUACACACACACACACACACACACACACAUACACACAC